This 2378-nucleotide long non-coding RNA is filed under the name Pan troglodytes (chimpanzee). RNAcentral's name for it is "lincRNA". Lineage: Eukaryota; Metazoa; Chordata; Mammalia; Primates; Hominidae. The record is from RNAcentral.
ACAGGAAGCUUAAAUGCAUAUUGCUAGAUAGAAGAACCAAUCCGAAAAGGCUACUUUCUCUAUGAUUCCAACUACGUGACUUUCUAGAAAAGGCAAAACUAUGGAGAUGGUAAAAAGAGAAAAGGAUUUCUGCUUUCAAAUCCACUGUUUCCUGAGGCUGGGUGCUGAGUUCAGCUGCCCCUGGAGGAGCAGCAGCUCUGGGCCGCUGGCAGGGCCACAUCCUCUUCAGUCUGGACAAAUUCCCUGCAGCCAGGGGAAGCGGCCCAUGCCGGCUGUCCUGGUAUGCAACAUCGGACCCGCAUGCUGGAAUUUGACCCUUUUCCUGCCUGACACCCAGCAAAAUAAACCCCAGGGAAGGGAUCAAUGUCUGCAACCGGAAUCCAGAAGAAAGAGGAGUGACAGAUAAGCCCUGGGUCAGAGGCCAGUGAGGUCAGGACCUCCCAGGGACGGACGCACAGCCCAAGGUUUGGGUGUGAGAUUUCAGAGCCCCAGGUAAUAAAAAUAAAAGAGUUAAGGUGCCUAGCAGCUCAGUCCCUCACAGUGCUACCUGGGGCAAGGAUGGAAAUUCACCUCAGUUUGCUGUGGUUGCUAUUGGCUGAAUCAUGUCCUCCCAAAAUUCAUAUGUUGGAGUGUACCUCGGGAUGUGGUACCUCAGGAUACCUCAGUACCUCGGGAUGUGGCGUUGUUUGGAGAAAGGGUCGCUAGAGAGGUAAUUAAGUUAAAAUGAGGCCAUGAGGGUGGGCCCAAAUCCAAUUUAAUUGGCAUCCUUCUAAAAAGGGGAAAUUUGGACACAGAGAGAGACACAAACAGGGAGGGCGCCCUGGGAACAGGAAGGCGGCCACCUCCAAGCCAAGGAGGUCCUGGAGCAGAUCCCCGUCUCAGAGGUCCAGUGGGAACCACCCCUGCCCAACCUUCAUUUUGAACUUCUGGCCUCCAGAGCUGUGAGACGAUACACUUCUGUGGUUUAAGCCGUGUAGCCUGUGGCACUUGGUUAUAGCAGCCCCAGGAAACCCAACACAGUGGCCAAAACAGAGAGGACAGCUGGCUUGCUAACGUCACACAGCGCACUGUCGAGAGCAGGGUCUUCAACUCACCACUCAGGGACCCAGUAGUCAGGGGUGAGGGGGAAUGCCCUUCCAAUAUGGCCAGAGCCAGACUGUCUGGGCCCAAUCCCCAGCUUUGUAUGUAUUACUUAACCUCUCUGUGCCUCAGUUUACCAAGCUAUAAAAUGGGCAUAAUGACAGCACCUGCCUGGUGAUGCUCUUGGAGGGAUGAAAGGAGGCGAUGAUGUGGGCAUCUGGACGGCACCACGCAUUGCCCUGAGAGCUGGCCAUGCGGGGAAUGCUCCAUCCUCACGCCAGCCAGGUGUUGCCACCCCUCUCUUGCUGAUGGAGACCAGGAGGGUCGGGACAGAAGGCCUUGCCCAAGGUCUCACAGCCAGGAGCCUGCCUCCACUGGUCCCUGUGUGGCCAGUGCUGCCCUGGGGGCUGCUGCUGUGCACUGGAGGGGCAGCUGCAUGGAGGAGCCAGAGGAGAUGGUGCCGAGGACAGAGCUUGCGGCCCUGCACCUGGCUCCCAGAGGAAUGGGUCUUGGAGCUGCUCUGCACAGACCCUGACCUUGAGGAGAGACAGAGGCACCACUCCCUCCUCCACUCACUCAGGUGAGCAUUCAAAGCGUCAUAGGUAACCAGGAGCACUAGUUGGCAUGGCGAUUUCAGAGGUGAGUCCAAUGUGGACCCUGGCCCUGGGAAGGUCACAGUUUGAUGGAAGAUGCCAGACUCACACAUUCACUCACUCACUCAUUCCCUCGUGUAUUCAUUCCGCAAAGCUUCACUCAUUACCUACCUGGGGCCAGGACUCAGUCUUAGAGCCAAGGAGAGCGUGGUUGGGAGGAGACUCAGAUGCUUUCCAGCAUCCCUGCCCCCAGGUGUCUACACACCUGUGUGCUCCCCAACUUGGAGUGUGGCAGGGCUGCAAAGAGGGUGGAUGUGCUCCCGUGGUGAGGUUACUUUAUAUGGCAAAGGUGCCGGACUUCUGCAGGUGUAAUUAAGGUCCUAACCAGCUGACCUUGAGUUAAUCAAAAUGGAGAUGAUCCUGGGUGGGCCCAAGCUAAUCAGGUGAGCCCUUUCAAAAUGGCCUUGAAGUCAGAGACUCUCCUGCAGGAUUCGGAGAUCCAGCCCCAUGAGGAACAGGGGCAAGGAAAUGCAAUCUUCCACAACCGAGAGAGCUUGGAAGAGGGUCCCAAACCUCAGAGGAGACCCCAGCUCCGGCUGGCACCUUGACUGCAGCCCCAUGAGACAGAAGACCCAGCUAUGCCAUGUCCUGGCUCCUGACCUGCCCAAACUUUAAGACAAUAGAUAAAUGCCAUUUUAAGCUUUU